CAGCUGUCGUCCCUCCCCCUACAGACACACAGCCAAUCAUGUGUCUAUGUAGGCACCUGUGAGGCACGGUGGUUAAGGUACAGAGGUUGAGGGUUCUCCUGGGUUCUCACCUCCUCUACAGACAUGGAGCUCUUCACCGAUACGAUCUGAGCGCAGCCGUGAGAUCUCAGGUUGUCCAGCAGGUCACAGCGGUCGAACGCAAACUCCUGAUGAACAGAGAGAAGAAACAUCAGCACGUCUCAGGGUGUCCAGAAAUACUGGGACGCCCCAAGCUCAUGACCAGGCGUCCGAAUACUUUUGACCAUGUAGCGUAUGUGUAGAGGUAGGUAUGAGCUGGUGAGCUCACCUCAUCAGGGCAGUAAGCACAGCCGACCCCGGACUGUAGACAUGCUGAACAUGUCUUCGAUUUACUCGCCACGCAGUGAUUCACUGAAAUAUAAAUAAAUUAAUCAGAAAUCAUCAUCAAAA
Molecule: long non-coding RNA, 468 nt
Organism: Trichomycterus rosablanca
Lineage: Eukaryota; Metazoa; Chordata; Actinopteri; Siluriformes; Trichomycteridae
Exons: 2
Source: RefSeq, a predicted model, not a curated record